RNAcentral lists this ribosomal RNA (254 nucleotides) under uncultured bacterium. RNAcentral describes it as "partial 16S ribosomal RNA". It matches the Rfam family "Bacterial small subunit ribosomal RNA", at positions 524 to 776 of the family's 1533-position model. The record is from RNAcentral.
UACGGGGGGAGCAAGCGUUGUUCGGAUUUACUGGGCGUAAAGGGCGCGUAGGCGGUCAGCACAAGUCAGUUGUGAAAUCUCCGGGCUUAACUCGGAAAGGUCAACUGAUACUGUGCGACUAGAGUGCAGAAGGGGCAACUGGAAUUCUCGGUGUAGCGGUGAAAUGCGUGGAUAUCGAGAGGAACACCUGCGGCGAAGGCGGGUUGCUGGGCUGACACUGACGCUGAUGCGCGAAAGCCAGGGGAGCGAACGGG